GACGAACGCUGGCGGCGUGCUUAACACAUGCAAGUCGAGCGGUAAGGCCCUUUCGGGGGUACACGAGCGGCGAACGGGUGAGUAACACGUGGGUGACCUGCCCUCAGCUCUGGGAUAAGCCUGGGAAACCGGGUCUAAUACCGGAUAUGACUCCAUGACGCAUGUUGUGGGGUGGAAAGCCUUGUGCGGCUGAGGAUGGGCCCGCGGCCUAUCAGCUUGUUGGUGGGGUGAUGGCCUACCAAGGCGACGACGGGUAGCCGGCCUGAGAGGGCGACCGGCCACACUGGGACUGAGACACGGCCCAGACUCCUACGGGAGGCAGCAGUGGGGGAAUCUUGCACAAUGGGCGAAAGCCUGACGCAGCGACGCCGCGUGAGGGAUGACGGCCUGUGU
This 393-nucleotide ribosomal RNA is filed under the name uncultured bacterium. Its description in RNAcentral is "bacterial SSU rRNA". It matches the Rfam family "Bacterial small subunit ribosomal RNA", at positions 28 to 421 of the family's 1533-position model. The record is from RNAcentral.